RNAcentral lists this ribosomal RNA (207 nucleotides) under uncultured bacterium. Its description in RNAcentral is "partial 16S ribosomal RNA". It matches the Rfam family "Bacterial small subunit ribosomal RNA", at positions 568 to 774 of the family's 1533-position model. The record is from RNAcentral.
CACGUAGGCGGAUCGAUCAGUUAGGGGUGAAAUCCCAGGACUCAACCCUGGAACUGCCUCUAAUACUGUCGACCUGGAGUUCGAGAGAGGUGAGUGGAAUUCCGAGUGUAGAGGUGAAAUUCGUAGAUAUUCGGAGGAACACCAGUGGCGAAGGCGGCUCACUGGCUCGAUACUGACGCUGAGGUGCGAAAGCGUGGGGAGCAAACA